AUGGCGUCAAGAUCAAGCAUAUCAGAAGUGAUAACGGCACUGAAUUCAAGAACAUCGGGCUUGAUCUCUAUCUGGAUACAAUGGGAAUCACUCAUGAGUUUUUUGCUCCAUACACCUCAACAAAAUGGCAUUAUAGAGCGCAAGAACAAAACCCUCAUUGAGAUGGCUCGAACAAUGCUCGAUGAGUACAAAACACCAAGAAAGUUCUGGCCUGAAGCUAUUGAUACAGCAUGUCACAUCAUCAACCGUGUCUACAUCCACAAGCUUCUGGACAAAACAUCCUAUGAGCUCCUUACUGGCAAGAAGCCAAAUGUCAGCUACUUCAGGGUCUUUGGUGCUAGAUGCUGGAUCAAGGAUCCCCAUCACAAGUCAAAAUUUGCACCUAAGGCUCACGAAGGCUUCAUGCUUGGCUAUGAAAAGGACUCACACUCCUACAAAGUCUUCAACCUCUAUCUCUACAAGAUCGUCGAAACUAUGGAUAUGAGAUUUGAUGAAACCAAUGGUUCACAAAGAGAACUCCUGCCAAGUACACUUGAUGAAGCUCCUCCAAGCGAAUCUAUCAAGCUGAUGUGA
RNAcentral lists this ribosomal RNA (573 nucleotides) under Triticum aestivum (bread wheat). RNAcentral's name for it is "partial small subunit ribosomal RNA". Lineage: Eukaryota; Viridiplantae; Streptophyta; Magnoliopsida; Poales; Poaceae. The record is from RNAcentral.